This 69-nucleotide transfer RNA is filed under the name Neonemura barrosi. RNAcentral's name for it is "tRNA-Gln". It matches the Rfam family "tRNA". From Rfam's summary of the family: Transfer RNA (tRNA) molecules are approximately 80 nucleotides in length. Lineage: Eukaryota; Metazoa; Arthropoda; Insecta; Plecoptera; Notonemouridae. The record is from RNAcentral.
UAUAAUUUAGUGUAUGAGGCACGAAAGACUUUGAAACUUUCAGAGAUAGUUUAAUUCUAUUAAUUAUAA